GAUGAAGAACGUAGCGAAAUGCGAUAAGUAAUGUGAAUUGCAGAAUUCAGUGAAUCAUCGAAUCUUUGAACGCACCUUGCGCCCUUUGGCUAUUCCGAAGGGCAUGCCUGUUUGAGUAUCGUGAACACCUCAACUCUCAUGGUUUGCCAUGAUGAGCUUGGACUUUGGGGGUUUUGCUGGCCUUUGGUCGGCUCCUCUCAAACGGAUCAGCUUUCCAGUGUUUGGUGGCGUCACGGGUGUGAUAACUUUCUACGCCUGUGGUUUUCUGCCAGAUAACCUUCAGCGAUGGAGGUUCGCUGGGGCUCAUAAAUGUCUCUCUUCAGUGGAGACAGCUUUUUGGACGUUUGAUCUCAAAUCAGGUAGGACUACCCGCUGAACUUAAGCAUAUCAAUAAGCGGAGGA
RNAcentral lists this unclassified non-coding RNA (402 nucleotides) under soil metagenome. RNAcentral describes it as "partial contains 5.8S ribosomal RNA, internal transcribed spacer 2, and large subunit ribosomal RNA". The stretch from base 1 to 121 matches the Rfam family "5.8S ribosomal RNA", at positions 35 to 154 of the family's 154-position model. The record is from RNAcentral.